UACGUAGGGGGCAAGCGUUGUCCGGAAUCAUUGGGCGUAAAGAGCGUGUAGGCGGCUCGAUAAGUCUGCUGUGAAAGUCCAGGGCUCAACCCUGGAAGGCCGGUGGAAACUGUCGGGCUAGAGUCCGGAAGAGGCGAGUGGAAUUCCUGGUGUAGCGGUGGAAUGCGCAGAUAUCAGGAGGAACACCGGUGGCGAAGGCGGGUCUCUGGGCCGAUACUGACGCUGAGGAGCGAAAGCGUGGGGAGCGAACAGG
Molecule: ribosomal RNA, 253 nt
Filed under: uncultured bacterium
Lineage: Bacteria
Description: partial 16S ribosomal RNA
Rfam family: Bacterial small subunit ribosomal RNA
Source: RNAcentral